RNAcentral lists this ribosomal RNA (1412 nucleotides) under uncultured prokaryote. RNAcentral's name for it is "partial 16S ribosomal RNA". It matches the Rfam family "Bacterial small subunit ribosomal RNA". The record is from RNAcentral.
ACGAUGAAGAACAGCUUGCUGUUUCUGAUUAGUGGCGGACGGGUGAGUAAUGUAUAGGGAUCUGCCUAGUAGUGGGGGACAACAGCCGGAUCCAGAUUAAUACCGCAUAAUUCCUACGGGAGAAAGAGGGCCUAUACUUGUAAGCUCUUGCUAUUGGAUGAGCCUAUGUCGGAUUAGUUAGUUGGUGAGGUAAUGGCUUACCAAGACUACAAUCCGUAGCUGGUUUGAGAGGAUGAUCAGCCACACUGGGACUGAGACACGGCCCAGACUCCUACGGGAGGCAGCAGUAGGGAGUAUUGGACAAUGGGCGCAAGCCUGAUCCAGCAAUGCCGCGUGUGUGAAGAAGGCCUGCGGGUUGUAAAGCACUUUCAAUUGGGAAGAAAGAUUUAGAGUUAAUACCUCUUAAUAUUGACGUUACCAAUAGAGAAGCACCGCCGGCUAACUCUGUGCCAGCAGCCGCGGUAAUACAGAGGGUGCAAGCGUUAAUCGGAAUUACUGGGCGUAAAGCGCGCGUAGGCGGCUAUUUAAGCUAGAUGUGAAAGCCCUGGGCUCAACCUGGGAACUGCAUUCCAAACUGGAAGACUAGAGUAUGGUAGAGGAGUGUGGAAUUUCAGGUGUAGCGGUGAAAUGCGUAGAGAUCUGAAGGAACAUCAGUGGCGAAGGCGACACUCUGGACCAAUACUGACGCUGAGGUGCGAAAGCGUGGGUAGCAAACAGGAUUAGAUACCCUGGUAGUCCACGCCGUAAACGAUGUCUACUAGCCGUUGGGUUCCUUGAGGACUUAGUGGCGCAAGCUAACGCGAUAAGUUGACCGCCUGGGGAGUACGGUCGCAAGACUAAAACUCAAAUGAAUUGACGGGGGCCCGCACAAGCGGUGGAGCAUGUGGUUUAAUUCGAUGCAACGCGAAGAACCUUACCAGGUCUUGACAUGUACGGAAGGUCGAAGAGAUUUGACUGUGCCUUCGGGAACCGUAACACAGGUGCUGCAUGGCUGUCGUCAGCUCGUGUCGUGAGGUGUUGGGUUAAGUCCCGCAACGAGCGCAACCCCUGUCCUUAUGCCAGCACGUAAUGGUGGGGACUCUAAGGAGACUGCCGGUGACAAACCGGAGGAAGGUGGGGAUGACGUCAAGUCAUCAUGGCUCUUAUGGGUGGGGCUACACACGUGUUACAAUGGGCAGUACAGAGGGUUGCCAAGCCGCGAGGUGGAGCUAAUCCCAGAAAGCUGUUCGUAGUCCGGAUUGGAGUCUGCAACUCGACUCCAUGAAGUCGGAAUCGCUAGUAAUCGCGAAUCAGAAUGUCGCGGUGAAUACGUUCCCGGGCCUUGUACACACCGCCCGUCACACCAUGGGAGUUGGCUGCAAAAGAAGUAGGUAGACUAACCUUCGGGAGGUCGCUCACCACUUUGUGAUUAA